This 2537-nucleotide long non-coding RNA is filed under the name Pan troglodytes (chimpanzee). RNAcentral's name for it is "lincRNA". The record is from RNAcentral. Lineage: Eukaryota; Metazoa; Chordata; Mammalia; Primates; Hominidae.
UUAUGGUGAAGACCACCUUUUCAGAUGUGACAUGGCUCACAGUAAGAGCACUUUUCAGUUCAUGCACAGCAAAAUUCAUAAGUGAGAGGACUCAAGGGCCAGGCAUUUGUGAAGGCUUUCCAGGGUAACUACCCCCUUCCAGCACUGGAGUACCAGAAUAAUGAGAAGCUCAAAAGAGAAUGUGGAAAGGCCUUCCUUUCUCCAUCACCAGAGUACUCAUGGCACAGGGAAGCCAUGAAGAAGAGCUGAGUGAGAAGAUGCUGCCACACAGCUCUAACAUCAGAUAACACCGGGCAGGCCAUGAUAGGGAGAAGCCCUUCAAGAGCAGUGGCUAUGGGAAGACAUGAAGACUUUUGCCCUCUUCAACCACCUAAGAACCCACACUGAAGAGAGAUCUUUAAAUACUUGGUAUGAAGAAAGACCCUCAAGAAGAAAUCAAUUCUUAUCUAUAACCAAAAAAUUCACAGUAGAGAAAACCCCUGCAUCUAAGGAAUGUGGGAUGGUCUUCAGUCACCUCUCCUAUGUGAGAAAGCUAUAUAAAGUACCUAUGGGAAAAAGGCAUUACAAAUGCAGUGAAAAUGGGAAAGCCUUCAGCUAUAGACACCCCCUUUUAAGAAAAAUCACCAGAGAAUUCACAAGAGAGUUAUGGGCAACAAAUGUGGGAAAGCCACAGCUCCCAGAAUCUUAGGCGGCACUGUAUUACUGCUAUUGCAGAAGCCAUCUGUAUUAGUUACCUAUUGCUGUGUAACAAAUUACUCAAAACCUAGUGGCUUAAAACAAUAGUCACUAUUUCACAGUCUCUAUAGGUCAGGAACUUUGGUGCAGCUAGCUGACUCCUCUUUAGGGUUUCUCACAAGGCUAACAUCAAGAUGUCAGCUGGGGGUGUGGUCAUCUGAAGGCUUGACUAGGGAAGGCUCUGCUUCCAAGCAAACUCACGUAAUUGGCAGCAUUCAGUUUUUUGUGGGCUGCUGGACUGAGGACCCGUCUGUUGGUCUGAGACCUCCUCCAGUUCUCUGCCACAUGGGCCUCUCCAAAAUGGCAGCUUGUCAAUCAAAGCUUGCAAGCUGAUCAUGCAAUGGAGAAUACCAACAAGUCAGUCAUUUGUAACCUAAUAACAGAAGUGAGAUCCCAUCAUCUUUGCUAUAUUUAGUUAGAAGCAAGUCACUUGGUCCAGCCCACAGUCAAGGGGAGAGCAUUACACAAGAGCAUGAAUACCAGAGGGCAGAGAUCAUUGGAAGCCAUGUCCAAAGCUGCCUGCCAUACUGUCUCAUCUCUGCCACCUGGCAAGAUCUCAUGAUAUGUAUCAGUCUCCCUCACUGUGCUAAGGGAAAGCAGACUAUACUCCCUUUUCCAUUCUCUAGAGAGAAUUACAUAGGCUUUGAGUACCCUCAUUUUCUUUCCCACUGAUGGCUUUAGAUUUUGGUAUGACAAUUCUUGCUAAGAUCUGAGCUGGUGUCUUCUGGAGCUUUCCAGAAAAGGUUUCUUGGCCGGGCACAGUGGCUCACGCCUAUAAUCCCAGCACUUUGGGAAGCUGAGGCAGGCAGAUCAUGAGGUCAGGAGAUCGAGACCAUCCUGGCUAACAUGGUGAAAACCCACCUCUACUAAAAAUACAAAAAAUUAGCCAGGUGUGGUGGCGGGUGCCUGUAGUCCCAGCUACUUAGGAGGCUGAGGCAGGAGAAUGGUGUGAACCUGGGAGGCAGAGUGUGCAGUGAGCCGAGAUCGCGCCACUGCACUCCAGCCUGGGCGACAGUGUGAGACUCCAUCUAAAAUAAAAAAAAAAAGAAAAAAAAAGAAAAAAAGGUUUCUCUUCGUGGACAUUGUUUGCAUCUACAUGUGACACUUAGGAAUGAUCUGUUUAGUCUCAAUCACCCAGUCCUGGAUCUGCCUGUCUCUCUCUGAGAUAACAAAGGCCUUAAUGUUUAGCCACCUGCAUCAGAGUUGGUGAGGUGGUUUGAAACAAUUCAUCCUAAUAUAAAAAGAACAGCUUUUGUAAGGGGGCACUGAGUGUCUCAAACAGCCGCAUGGGCAGGAAGAGUGCUCAGUCCAGUUUUGGUUGAAUUUACCUUGUUGCCCUAAGGCCUCCUGUGAAAGACUGACAGGCUUGGACUGAAUCUUGUGAUCUGGACACCAAGGGUCACCUGUGGGCCCAGAGCUAGCUCUGAAGAAUGGGGUAGUUUCUUUGAGAACCUCCACAGCAAAAGUUUGGUCCUCUGUUCCCAAUGCAUGUCCCACUUUACCAGCUACAUCCCCCAGUACCUGCCCAUGGCUCAUGACUCAUGAAAUAUAGAACUCAGUAGGCAGGUAUAACUGGUUCAGACCUGCCAGGGCUAUGUGGAAACUAUCAUUGGUACAAAAACUCUAAGUGUGGAGAAGACUGUGGUAGACAAGAGGGGACAUGUCUGUUCUAAAGGCACAUCAGAAACUUCCAAUGACUAUGGCCAAGUGAGAUAAGGUGUACAGAACUUCUCAGGACAUGCAGACCUAUGUGUCACUCAUAACUGAAAUUCAAAUAAAUGUUUUGUGGAUUUCCUGUGGAC